Mustela erminea (ermine) is the source of this 221-nucleotide long non-coding RNA. RefSeq lists it as uncharacterized. The record is from RefSeq and is a predicted model, not a curated record. The transcript has 3 exons. NCBI's taxonomy places the organism in Eukaryota, Metazoa, Chordata, Mammalia, Carnivora, Mustelidae.
GGAGGAGGAGAACAAGAAGAAGGUGGUCCGUUUCAGGCUGUCCUUGGAUGAAGAUAUGUUUAUGAAGGAAGUGUGUGGUUUUCCUUACAACCACCAUCUCAACCUCAAAUUGAACCAGACUGGAGCUAGAGCAGCCAUCUUGCUACCCGCCUGAGGAUGAAUGCAACGCACAGAUGACUAUAUGCAGCAGAUCACCCCCAAGAAACUCCUGGAGAAAAGCA